AGAAAAUUUCCUCUGCAGUAUUAUUGAGGUUCAAAAAUGCAAUUGGAACUAUAGUUAAGUUUGGAUAAUCAGUGCAACUUUGUGUUAGGUUGAAGAUCUUCUUCUUUAAACCUGACAACAUGGAGAUUGUGUAGACCAACUUGAUGUUACUUGCAUUUCAUACAGCAUUAGUUAUCAAAGUGGCUUUAUUGCAGUGUGUCACAUGAAGGUGCUAUUUUAUUUUGCAUUGAAACUUCAGUGUUGAAUUUAUGAAGAAACAUUCUCAAGUCUGCAGCAAAAGCAAAUUUCCAAACCCAUCCAAUAUUCAGAAACAGUAACUGAGUGUGAUUCUUCUUAUUCAUAAUAAUUUCAGUCUUUUUCCAAGGUAAAAAUAAAAAUAAAACUAUGCCUAUGCCAUCAAAUUGCUGUGUAGUUGGGCCAGUCAGGAUAUUCAUCUUUGAUUUCUGAUAAAACUUAACAGAUCUUAUGAUAGUUUAAAGGAUAGUUUUCACAAAAUACCUACUGGUGGAUAGCACAGUGUGUAACUAUCAACUUCAAAGCUUUGUAGAUCUGUUCAGCUGUGUGUGUGUGUGUGUGUGUGUGUGUGUGUCUUUCCUACUUCACCUAUAUUUCUGCCACCAUCGCUUGCAAAAUAGCAGAUUCCAUUUCAGGUUGUACUGAAUUGGUAAUUUCUUCUUUAAAAAUAUUGUUCCAUGUAGAUUGUUCUUAAAAAGCUCAUUUCAAUCUUAACAUUGAUUUCUUAAGUAAACAAUCACUAGGCAGGAUUGGUAACAUCUGCUGACUCAUCAGAAGCCAAGGAGAACUUGAAAUCACUUGCUUAUUUUUAAACUGAUGAUUGACACCGCAGUGACCUAAUGUCUUCAAGCAAGUGUUAAUGCUAAAAAGUUGGAGAUAAUACCUACAGUGCGGCAUGUUGUGUGGAUUAACAGAAAUCUUUUUAAUGUAUUAAAUAGUAUAUAGAGAGAUUUCCAUCCAAAUGUAUUAACAAGUUCUGGCUCCUGGAUUAGAAAUCGUUAAUGGCUGAGACUAUAUACCUGUGCUGAGUACUUAUUCCUUAAGAAAGCCACU
Molecule: long non-coding RNA, 1068 nt
Filed under: Heterocephalus glaber (naked mole-rat)
Lineage: Eukaryota; Metazoa; Chordata; Mammalia; Rodentia; Bathyergidae
Description: lncRNA (ENSHGLG00000044118.1)
Source: RNAcentral